AACUUUCAAACGAAUCCUUAAAACUUAGGGAUGUACUUAUUUAAAUAAUAUUAUUUAUAUUGUCAUUCACUUUUAUUUACUUUUGUAUUUUUAAUUGUAAAUAGUUAUAUUAUACAUUAUUUUUUUUGCAUAUGCAUUAUUAGCAUUUAUGUUAUUUAUAUGUGUACAUAUUAUAUAUAAAAUUAAAAAAGAUGUAAAACUCUUAUUUUUUUUUAAGUUCUUGUUGUACAAUAAAUACAACAAUCAAUUAACUCAACAUUUAUUAAACAUUAAUACAAAAAACAUAACUUUUUAAACCUAUUAAAUAAACAAAUAGCAACUUAAUUAUUGCUUAUCACAAAAAAAAAAAAAAAAAAAAAAAAAUAAGAAAUUAAUAAAAAAAAUAAGAUCAAUCAUCCUGCAUUAUUGUAAUUUAUCAUUUAUUAAUACUACAACAAACACUAAAAAUUUUUUCUUAUUUUUAUUAAUUAUUCACAUAUAUGAAUUAAUAUUAAGAUGCAAAAACUACUAUAACUAAUUAACUUUAAUUCAUAAAAAAAAUUUUAUUUUUUUUAUUUUCUAAUAAAUAAUGCCUAGUUCAUAGUAAAUUUGUUAGAACAAUUUUAAAAAGAAUGUAUUAAAUAAUAAAUAUACGUUUCGUGUAAUCUCCUAUACAUAUAUAAUAUUUUUUUUUUUGUAAGUGUCGCUUAAAUUUAUGCAAUUUUUUUUUUUUUUUUUUUUGCAUUAUAUUUUAUUAUGUCAUCAUUUCUAGCAUUAAAAACAUAUUUGUUCUAUUGUUUAUUAAUAAAAUUAUAAAACUAUACAAUUUGUAUUAUUAAAAAUAUUUAAAUAAAAAUGUAAUUAAGAAAACAUGAUAUAAUAUAUUAAAUAUAUUAGUAACGGAAGAAAUCAUUACCACAUCUCAAUUUAUAAUAAAAGAAUGUUUACCAUAAAUUAUAAAAUAAUUAUUAUUCCAUUAUUUAUAUGGGCAUGGACUAAUAAUAACAAGACUCGCUUAAAAAAUAUAAUCACGGUGAACUAUAGUAGAUCACUAGUUCAGCGCGAUAUCGUUCCUAACCAACAGAAUGACCAUCCUUAUUUAACAAAAUAUGAUGACAUAUACGAUUGUUCUAAACAUUUUGAACAAUAUAUUAUUAGAGAUCAAGAUCUAAAUGAGAAUAUUUUUAAAUAUGAUGAGCACUUUCCAAAUAAAUUAACUUUUUUAACCGAUAUUUUAAACGAAAUAAUUAAAAUAUUAAUAAAAAAACAGGAUCCUAUAUUAAAGGAUAUACUAAAAAAAAUAAAAACAUACAAGAUAAAAAUGUACUAGAUGUAUAUGACUUUAUAAAACAUGCCGUUUCAAGUGAAGAAUAUUUACGAAUUGUAAAUGAAAGUUAUGAAUCAUUAAAAAGUAAAAGUUCUGACUUUAAUGACAUUUAUGAAACAUAUUACAACAAUAUAUUACAUUUAUUAAAUACAUAUUUUUAUCUUACCAACAGUAAAAAAAAUUUUAAAAAACGCCUUAUGCAAUUACAACAAGAUGGUCACGAGACACUAAUAAUUAAAAGAAAUAAACCUAAAUUCAAAAUGAAAUAUUUAAAUAUA
Long non-coding RNA from Piliocolobus tephrosceles (Ugandan red Colobus), 1584 nucleotides. The record is from Ensembl. Lineage: Eukaryota; Metazoa; Chordata; Mammalia; Primates; Cercopithecidae.